Molecule: small nucleolar RNA, 100 nt
Filed under: Kazachstania africana CBS 2517
Lineage: Eukaryota; Fungi; Ascomycota; Saccharomycetes; Saccharomycetales; Saccharomycetaceae
Description: Small nucleolar RNA snR65
Rfam family: Small nucleolar RNA snR65
Source: Rfam by way of RNAcentral
UAAUAUGAUGAGUUUUUAAAACACUUUUCUUAUGCUAGAUAGUAUCUGAAAGUUUAACUUAAUGAUUGUGGUGUUUAUGACAAUGGGAAUCUCUCUGAUA